GACGAACGCUGGCGGCGUGCUUAACACAUGCAAGUCGAACGGAAAGGCCCUGCUUUUGUGGGGUGCUCGAGUGGCGAACGGGUGAGUCACACGUGAGUAACCUGCCAUUGACUUUGGGAUAACUUCAGGUAACUGGGGCUCAUCACGGAUAGGAGCUCCUGCUGCAUGGUGAGGGUUGAAAAGUUUCGGCGGUUGGGGAUGGACUCGCGGAUUAUCAGGUUGUUGGUGAGGUAGUGGCUUACCAAGGCUUUGACGGGUAGCCGGCCUGAGAGGGUGACCGGCCACAUGGGGACAGAGAUACGGCCCAGACUCCUGCGGGAGACAGCAGAGUGGAAGAAUGCACGAUGGGCGGAAGCCGGAUGCAGCAACGCCGCGUGCUGGAUUGCGGCCUUCGGGUAUUAAGCCGCUUUCGCCUGUGACGAAGCGUGAGUGACGGUAAUGGGUAAAGAAGCACCGGCUAACUACGUG
Molecule: ribosomal RNA, 468 nt
Filed under: uncultured bacterium
Lineage: Bacteria
Description: partial 16S ribosomal RNA
Rfam family: Bacterial small subunit ribosomal RNA
Source: RNAcentral